UCCAGGAUAGCUUAGUGGACAUGGCACCUGCCCGGUAAGCAGAAGGUUGUGGGUUCGAUUCCCGCUCCUGGAC
RNAcentral lists this transfer RNA (73 nucleotides) under Cordylochernes scorpioides. RNAcentral describes it as "tRNA-Thr". It matches the Rfam family "tRNA". From Rfam's summary of the family: Transfer RNA (tRNA) molecules are approximately 80 nucleotides in length. Their secondary structure includes four short double-helical elements and three loops (D, anti-codon, and T loops). Further hydrogen bonds mediate the characteristic L-shaped molecular structure. tRNAs have two regions of fundamental functional importance: the anti-codon, which is responsible for specific mRNA codon recognition, and the 3' end, to which the tRNAs corresponding amino acid is attached (by aminoacyl-tRNA synthetases). tRNAs cope with the degeneracy of the genetic code in two manners: having more than one tRNA (with a specific anti-codon) for a particular amino acid; and 'wobble' base-pairing, i.e. permitting non-standard base-pairing at the 3rd anti-codon position. The record is from RNAcentral. Lineage: Eukaryota; Metazoa; Arthropoda; Arachnida; Pseudoscorpiones; Chernetidae.